This 460-nucleotide ribosomal RNA is filed under the name uncultured bacterium. Its description in RNAcentral is "partial 16S ribosomal RNA". It matches the Rfam family "Bacterial small subunit ribosomal RNA", at positions 338 to 795 of the family's 1533-position model. The record is from RNAcentral.
CCUACGGUGAGCAGCAGUGAGGAAUAUUGGUCAAUGGACGCAAGUCUGAACCAGCCAUGCCGCGUGCAGGAAGACGGCUCUAUGAGUUGUAAACUGCUUUUGUACGAGGGUAAACGCAGAUACGCGUAUCUGUCUGAAAGUAUCGUACGAAGAAGGAGCGGCUAACUCCGUGCCAGCAGCCGCGGUAAUACGGAGGAUUCAAGGGUUAUCCGGAUUUAUUGGGUUUAAAGGGUGCGUAGGCGGUCGGAUAAGUUAGAGGUGAAAUCCCGAGGCUCAACGUCGGAAUUGCCUCUGAUACUGUUCGGCUAGAGAGUAGUUGCGGUAGGCGGAAUGUAUGGUGUAGCAGUGAAAUGCUUAGAGAUCAUACAGAACACCGAUUGCGAAGGCAGCUUACCAAGCUACUUCUGACGUUGAGGCACGAAAGCGUGGGGAGCAAACAGGAUUAGAUACCCGGGUAGUC